GUAGGUGAACCUGCGGAAGGAUCAUUAACACGAAUUUUAUCCAAUACUAAACCAAACGUGAACUUUUCCCCUCCCUAUUCUUUUGAAUAGGCUAACCUUUUUUACUCUAUAUAUAAUAACGAUUCUUCGCUAUUGUAUAUAUAGUUUUUAACUCCUAAAACUUAACUCUAGUUUGUCGAGGUCUCCUCUUCAACUACUAACACUAAAAAAUGUCAUUUCUCUUAAUUGAGUGUGGCUUUUUUCGAUAUAC
RNAcentral lists this unclassified non-coding RNA (250 nucleotides) under plant metagenome. RNAcentral's name for it is "partial contains small subunit ribosomal RNA, internal transcribed spacer 1, and 5.8S ribosomal RNA". The record is from RNAcentral.